Nematostella vectensis (starlet sea anemone) is the source of this 2113-nucleotide RNA transcript. RefSeq lists it as uncharacterized. NCBI's taxonomy places the organism in Eukaryota, Metazoa, Cnidaria, Anthozoa, Actiniaria, Edwardsiidae. The transcript has 2 exons. The record is from RefSeq and is a predicted model, not a curated record.
AAAAGUAAGGAUGCCAGACAAGCCUGUAAAAUUUGGUAGAUUGAAGAGAGAAACAACAGCGGCUUGAUUUCCAAGUAAUGACUACGUGCUGCAGGUGAAGAGGCAUGUCCAGACUUUUUAAACUUUGAUUACUUAAACUUAGAAAGGAGGGAGCAACAGUAUUUUAAAUGGCACAUAAUAGCCACAAAGAAGCAACCAUCAUAAGAUACAAAGAAUUGAUGUCUUGCCCACGGCGAAGACGCCAAAAAGGAACCCUGAAAAUGCUGUGAAGUGUUUCUUGAAAGACUUUCUACUGCAUGUACAUCAAAGAGAGAAACAACAAGCGCUUUUGGAAAGGAGGGAGCAAUAGGAUUUUAAAUGCCACAUAACAGCAACAAAAAAUCGACCAUCAUAAGAUAUUAAGAAUGGAUGUCUUGUACACUGUGAAGACGACAAAAAGGAGCCUGAAAAUGCUGCGAAGUGGUCCUUGUAAGACAUUCUACUGCCUGUAAUUCGGAGGGAGAAACGGUAGCAGCUUGAUCUCUAAGUACUGAUUAUGUCCCGAGACCAAGAAGAACCCGGGAAUUGGACACUACAGCAAGAAGAACGACUGGAGCCUUGAUGACUGGGUCGAAAACAGUUGUCUUUUCCAAAGGAGACAUAAGUAUUUAGAGGGUACAAGAGUCUAGAGGUUCAUGAAAUAGGUCUUAUCAAAGCAUCUUAUAGUAGUAACACAAAUCUAGUGCAUAGUAUCAUUUGUGUCCACAUUAUCGUACUAACGAUUUUGAGGCAUAUUUGUAAAAGUUACAUAUUAUAUUAAAUAUUAUAUACCAUAUGGUUGUGUUUUUUUAAUAUAACUAUAAUUAUAAUUUAAUUAGAUUUCUUCUUAUAUCAAUUCAUUUACUCAAGAUGAAUGUAAUUCAGAUAAGCAUAAAUUAUAUUGAACACGUGAACAUUCUUUAAGAUUAAGAAAGAAAGCUUAUUUAUGCUGACAUUGAAUGAAAGUUGUUUUAGUGAUUACAGUAAUUCUACAUUGCCAAAAGUGACAAAAUAAAGCAAAGUUUCUUAUAUUUUUUGGCCAGUCAGUCAUCUGCUAAUGGCCUUUUCUAAAGAUUUAUUUUAUUCUUCCAAGCACUUCAAUGUCCAUUAUAACCAUUCUUUAAUUUUGAAAUUGCAGCCAGCACAUUUGUCAGUGCCUCAGAGGGCUCCACUGAAAGUAGAAUAUUUCAUGUAGGCAAAGUGGGACAAAGACGAGCUGGCUGCAAAGAGGAAGGAUUGUCAGUUGGUUCCAGCAACCAGAAACGACCCAAAAAGAACACUAUCCAACGCCCUAUUCAAUUCAGCGAAGAGGCAAAAUUCACUGCUGAAUUUAACGUUUGUAAAGAAUCUUGGAUGGAUAAACCAUCGCCGUGACAGGCAACCCCCCACCACAGCCUUCAUUAGACACAAAAACCUCAAGGACACAGGUCCACACCAAGUUCACAUCCACGACACACACUUCAUAGCAUAGGAACCCUACACAACACAUCACCACUUUCACCACAUUUCAUACCUCUCACCUCACACCAACACCACCAAAUCUAACCAAAGAAUGAGUCAAGCAAGAUGUACACAAACCGAAGCCAAAUGCCAUAUCUACUCCAAGCCAGCCAAUAAUAGAGGAAAAUAUACUACUUUUAAGACUCAAUUACCGAAGAACAGCCUUUCUACAGAAAUACAACUGAUAUAUAACUGAUAAAACUCACAAGCCAGUCAUCUCCAACCAAAGAUCUACCGGCCUCAAUAGAACUGACAAAGGCCUUCUUGCAGUCUCCUAUGCAACAUAACAUUGUCUACAACAUUAAAAACAGCCCUUCUAGAGAAACAUAUAUCCGAUCUAUUGACUACAAGCCAGCCAUCCCCAACCAGCAGUCUCCUACGCAACACAACAUUAUCUACACCAGUAAAAACAGCCCUUCUAGAGAAACAUAUAUCCGAUCCAUUGACUACAAGCCAGCCAUCUCCAACCAGCAGUCUCCACAGGACUCCUACGCAACACAACAUUAUCUACAACAGUAAAAACAUCCCUUCUAGAGAAACAUACACUGGAUCCAUCAACUACAAGCCAGCCAUCUCCAACCAGCAGUCUCCACAG